Molecule: transfer RNA, 69 nt
Filed under: Troglonectes acridorsalis
Lineage: Eukaryota; Metazoa; Chordata; Actinopteri; Cypriniformes; Nemacheilidae
Description: tRNA-Ala
Rfam family: tRNA
About the family: Transfer RNA (tRNA) molecules are approximately 80 nucleotides in length. Their secondary structure includes four short double-helical elements and three loops (D, anti-codon, and T loops).
Source: RNAcentral
AAGGCCUUAUCUUAAUUAAAGUGUCUGAGUUGCAUUUAGAAGAUGUGGGAUAAAGUCCCGCAGGUCUUA